This 495-nucleotide ribosomal RNA is filed under the name uncultured bacterium. RNAcentral describes it as "partial 16S ribosomal RNA". It matches the Rfam family "Bacterial small subunit ribosomal RNA", at positions 28 to 507 of the family's 1533-position model. The record is from RNAcentral.
GACGAACGCUGGCGGCGUGCCUAAUACAUGCAAGUAGAACGCUGAAGGAGGAGCUUGCUUCUCCGGAUGAGUUGCGAACGGGUGAGUAACGCGUAGGUAACCUGCCUGGUAGCGGGGGAUAACUAUUGGAAACGAUAGCUAAUACCGCAUAACAGUAGAUAUCGCAUGAUAUCUGCUUGAAAGGUGCAAUUGCAUCACUACCAGAUGGACCUGCGUUGUAUUAGCUAGUUGGUGAGGUAACGGCUCACCAAGGCGACGAUACAUAGCCGACCUGAGAGGGUGAUCGGCCACACUGGGACUGAGACACGGCCCAGACUCCUACGGGAGGCAGCAGUAGGGAAUCUUCGGCAAUGGACGGAAGUCUGACCGAGCAACGCCGCGUGAGUGAAGAAGGUUUUCGGAUCGUAAAGCUCUGUUGUAAGAGAAGAACGAGUGUGAGAGUGGAAAGUCCACACUGUGACGGUAUCUUACCAGAAAGGGACGGCUAACUACGUG